Molecule: unclassified non-coding RNA, 496 nt
Filed under: Hevea brasiliensis (rubber tree)
Lineage: Eukaryota; Viridiplantae; Streptophyta; Magnoliopsida; Malpighiales; Euphorbiaceae
Source: RNAcentral
GGUUGACAUACCCUGCAAGAUAUAUUUAUGAAGGAUAUACAUUAUUCUGAUCUAUAUAUAUUUUUGUGGAGUGUAUCUGUUAUUAUCCAAUUUAGGUUUCUCUUGUUCUGCUUGGUUGUUUUUGAUAUGCUGAUACAAUUUAUUUGCCUAUCGUAUGGCUGCUGUAGUUUGCAUUUAUCAUUUGUUUUCUCCACUUAUUGUUAUCUGUUCUUGAAGAGGCAAAAAGACUGCCAAUUAUUUAUCAUUCUUGAAUCAGCUAUGAUGAGUCAAUACUUGCACCUUAUUAUUUUAUGUCUUACAAGUACAUUGGCUACUGGCCUUCUUUGAGACUUCUGCUUGAUAAAAUUUCAAAAUGCUUUAGAGAUUGCUAAGUAUUCAAUGAAUCUUGCAUCUUCCAUAUCUAGCACGACUAUCUUACUACCAAUAACUAUAGUGGAAAGCUAAAUGAGUUGAUAAGUGAUGCUACUGGUGGUCCACAGAUCUGGUCCUGAUGCCA